GGCGCUGUAGUGUAGCGGUUAUCACUCGAGAUUCUGAAUACCAAUUUUCUCGAAACCCAGGUUCGAUUCCUGGCAGUGCCU
This 81-nucleotide transfer RNA is filed under the name Termitomyces sp. J132. It matches the Rfam family "tRNA". Rfam says of the family: Transfer RNA (tRNA) molecules are approximately 80 nucleotides in length. Their secondary structure includes four short double-helical elements and three loops (D, anti-codon, and T loops). RNAcentral also lists the same sequence under 1 other name. The record is from Rfam by way of RNAcentral. Lineage: Eukaryota; Fungi; Basidiomycota; Agaricomycetes; Agaricales; Lyophyllaceae.